AGUGAACGCUGGCGGUAGGCCUAACACAUGCAAGUCGAACGGCAGCACAGUAAGAGCUUGCUCUUACGGGUUGCGAGUGGCGGACGGGUGAGGAGUAUAUCGUAAUCUACUUUUUCGUGUAGGAUAACGUAGGUGAACUUACUCUAAUAUCGCAUACGCCCUACGGUUGAAAGCGUUGGAUCGUCUGACCGUGCGCGGAUGGAUUCGCCGAUGUCGGAUUAGCUAGUUGGCGGGUUACUGGCCCACGCAGGCGACGAUCCGUAGCUGGUGUGGGAGGAUGGUCAGCCACACUGGAAGUUGGACACGGACCAGGCUCCUGAGGGAGGCAGCAGUGGCGAAUAUUGGACAAUGGGCGGGAGCCUUAUCCAGCGAUACCGAGUGUGUGGCGGAGGCCUUCGGGUUGUAAAGACCUUUUGUUGGGAAAGAAAAGCAGUAGGUUAAUACCACGCUGUUCUGACGGUACCGAAAGAAUAAGCACCGGCUAACUUCGUG
RNAcentral lists this ribosomal RNA (492 nucleotides) under uncultured bacterium. RNAcentral's name for it is "partial 16S ribosomal RNA". It matches the Rfam family "Bacterial small subunit ribosomal RNA", at positions 29 to 507 of the family's 1533-position model. The record is from RNAcentral.